AAAUAAGAAGCAAAAUAUAUGCAUUUAGUUUCGACCUAAAAAUUUGAUACAACUUAUCCUUAUUUA
This 66-nucleotide transfer RNA is filed under the name Sympiezomias velatus. RNAcentral's name for it is "tRNA-Arg". Lineage: Eukaryota; Metazoa; Arthropoda; Insecta; Coleoptera; Curculionidae. The record is from RNAcentral.